This 3314-nucleotide ribosomal RNA is filed under the name Euglena clara. RNAcentral describes it as "partial 18S ribosomal RNA". The stretch from base 872 to 3314 matches the Rfam family "Eukaryotic small subunit ribosomal RNA". The record is from RNAcentral. Lineage: Eukaryota; Euglenozoa; Euglenophyceae; Euglenales; Euglenaceae.
GCAUGUCUCAGUGCACGCGGUCGCAACAGUGGAUCUGUGAAUGNNUCCUUACAUCAGCAGUCAUCUCCGUGAUAGAGUGUGCACGGCAGGCCCGAUGCAGGCGCCCCAGUUGGACAUCCUCCAAAACCUUGUGGCUAAUACACGUACGCAACGGUCAGCCAUUGGCAAGCGCUUGCCUCCUUCCGUGGUGGGAGAGGCGUCGGGACGGGGAAAAAACAGGGCGGUCCGGUGUUCCUCCGCACCGCUCUCCCGCCGCGACGCUCCUCCCAACAGGGUCGGUCCCUUUGUAUGCAGGUGUUGUGGCCUGAUUGCGCCCAGUCGAUCGAAAGACCCGCGCUCGGAUUUGAUCGGAAGAGCAGCGUUCCCCAGUGGUUGAACCAGACUGGUCCCCCCUUUCGGAGCGGUUCGUUGCGACGGCGCACAGCAGUCCGCCCCGCACCACCCACACACCCCCAUCGCCCCUUCCUACGCUUCCCCACCCGCGCCCUCUCCCAGAGGAGGCAAAGCGCGGUGGGGGGGGGGGGGGAWWWAGGGGGGGGGGGAGAGGAGGGGSUGUAAGGUACGGUGCUGCGUGCCSSAUUCGCGCGACGCCGCCACUUCGGUUUCGGGACGGUCGUGCUGGCUGAGUGGCAGCUGUGUCGGGAUCCCCGGGGUUUUCAUGCCCCGUCCCGCCGGCGCACACAUGCUUGAUCACGCGAACUUCUGACCUAUCAGCUUGGACUGUGGUGUAGCGGACACAAGUGGCAGUUACGGGUAACGGAGAAUCAGGGUUCGAUUCCGGAGAGGGAGCCUGAGAGACGGCUACCACUACCAAGGUGGGCAGCAGGCGCGCAAAUUGCCCAAUCCAAAAGCACAUCUGUGAGGCAGCGACGAACUGCAGCAAUCCCGCUGGUAUUCUUCACCAGUGGGACUUGGAAUGGAUGCAAUCCAAAAACAGUGAUGAGUAACAACUGGAGGGCAAGUCUGGUGCCAGCAGCUGCGGUAAUUCCAGCUCCAAGAGCGUACACUAACAUUGCUGCUGUUAAAACACUUGUAGUCUGCCACUGGGCAGCAGGUCUGCCGGGGGAGCCGUUCUCUCUCCACGGAGCACAGUGUGUGCGGCUGUGGUGGUGGUGGUGGUGGAUGUGGCUGUGGGAUGUGGUGGUGGUGGGGGUGGUGGUGGUGGGUGGUGUUGCCGAGGGGGCACAACACGACGACGACGACGACGAACGGGCGUUCGGCGGGUUCUUCUGGGGUCUUGUGCUUGGUCCCGCCACUCUGGGGGUUUACCCCUCGGUUUGGUGGGCCAUCAUCCCCCCCAUUCCCCCGUGUUCGCCCGCCGCCGGCCGGCCGCCGCCGCGCGCCCCGCUCCUCGGCUUCUCCUCCUCCCGCCUCUCUCCCCCUCUCCCAACAACACCCCGCUCCCUUCCUCCCCACCCCCCCACCACACUCCCGCGCCCGCGCGCUGCGCUGUGGGAGAUUGGGUUCAGAAAAACCCCGGUGGUAUGUCCCUGCGCCCGACACUGUCAAUCCGCGGUGAGAGAACUGAAUCUCCUACCAUUCGAGUGCUCCUGCCGACAAGUACCCUUCAGUGGGUGCCCAGGCGACUUCGCCCCGAACGCGCGCGUGGACGAACGGCUUUGCACGGUGGAUGGGGCCCUUCUCGCGCCCCAUAGAUCCAACCACCGUUAACCACGUCCAUCGCCGGAGCCCACCGCGAUCGACACCCUGGAAAACUCAGUGUGCUCAAAGCAACCUCCCGAUGGCUGAAUGCCUGUCCAUGGAAUGUCGCAGCAUCGACCGAGUGUGGCCACAAAGAGUUGUGCGUGGCCUUGGAGCCCACUCCGGGCAAUCUGGUAGUGCGUUGCUUUGCCUCCCGCGCCCCCACAUUCGCGGCGUCGGCGGGGGGAGGGGGAGUUUGGUGGUGUGACGGGGGGGGUGUGCCGCGCGCCACCAACACCGCACCCGCCCCCUUGUGGGGCGGCGUGUGGGGCGCUUUGCGUGUUCUCCCAGCGCACCAUUCCUCUUCUCUCCCGUGGGUGCCGUGUGGGCGUGCGGACGGCGUUCCACAGCACGCCGCCGAACGGAAUCGAGGGGUCCGUUCGGAGUGGACGAUAUUGUAGCGCCAGAGGUGAAAUUUUCAGAUCGCUGCAAGAUCCACGGCAGCGAAGGCGCUCUGCUAGUGCGUGUUCGUCGAUCAAGAAUGAGAGUAUGGGGAGCAAAGAUGAUCAGACACCGUCGUAGUCCAUCACCGUAAACGAUGCCGGCUCGGUCCUGGCGGGGAUAGACCCAAGACCCCGCCAGAGCCACCCCUCCCACAACGAGAAAUCCACAGCCUGUGGGUUCAGGGGGGAGUACCGUCGCAAGGCUGAAACUUAAAGGAAUUGACGGAAUGGCACCACAAGGCGUGGAGUAUGCGGCUUAAUUUGACUCAACACGGGGAAUGUUACCAGGUCAGGACGCAACCUGGAUGGACAGAUUGAGAGCUCUUUCUUGAUUCUGCGGACGGUGGUGCAUGGCCGCUCCUGAUUGGUGGAGUGAUUUGUCUGGUUGAUUCCGAUAACGAGUGAGACAUCUGCCUCCCAGUACGCCUCGGGCUCGCAUUCUGUAGGGACCACGACCCGCCGCCCCGGGGUCGCGCGCGUGCGUGACGCGGAGGCACGCUUCCGUUUCGCCGCCGCGCGCCGCGGGGUGUUCCGGGUCUCCCGAGAGCCCUUCUCCUGAGUUCAGCUUCUCUGAGGUGCUGCGUCCGCUUCCAAAGUACGCGCAUGCUAGAGCCAACAGCAGGUCUGUGAUGCUCCCAGAUGUCCUGGGCCGCACGCGCACUACACUGGCCCGGUGAAGGAGUCUACUUCCUACGAGGAGGCGCGGCGGCSSGGCGCCCGCCCCCCCUAUAUNNNNNUACCCCCCCCCCCCGACCSSSSGGGGGGGGGGGGGGGGGGGGGGGGGGUGGUGGUGGGGUGCCGCGCUGCGGUGUCCCUCCUCUGUGUCCCUGCCCUGAAGAGGGUGGGAAAUCCUGCAAGUCCGUUUGUGAGAGCCGUGCUGGGGAUAGAUGAUUGCAACUGUCUUCCUUGAACGUGGAAUGCCUAGUAGGCGUGCGUCAUCAGCGCACACCGAUUGUGUCCCUGCCAUUUGUACACACCGCCCGUCGUUGCUACCGAUGAUACCUGGAUAGAGUCAUCAGGAGGUGCCAUCAUCACAGGCCAACAGCAAAGGGGGGCGCCACCGCUGCCUCGUCAAACCAGGGAGAGGUGGUGUACCCCCCACGCUGCCAUUGUUGUCAACACUGCUGCUGCCGAAAUCGGACCAAUGUCCAGCUGCUAGAGGAAGCAAAA